CCCAACACAGGGGUCAAACCCAGCUCCUGAGAGCCCAGAAACCUGCCAGGACCUCGCUGGGGAUGGGACAGGACGGUGGGUAGGUCCUGGCAUUGGAGCUCUGUGGGGCUCUGAUGCCUUGGGUUGAUGUGGCCAGAAAUGUGUAUUCGGGUGGGGCAGUGACCCUGAUCUCCUGGCACACAUUAUCUGCUGAUGGGCAUCUCUAAACCAGCCGGGCAAUCAUCUUUAUCUGUUCCACAGCCCAUCCUCCCUGAGGAGAUAUCUCCUGUUAAUGGGUCAUCUGUUAAAAACCAGCUGGGGCAAUCAUCUUUAUCUGUUCCACAGCUCAUCUUUUAUCCAGGAGGUAUCUCCUGUUAACGGGUCAGGUGUUAAAAACCAGGUGGGACAAUCCUCUUUGCCUUUCCACAACCCAUCCUCCGUGAGGAGAUAUCUCCUGUUAAUGGGCCAUCUGAUAAACCAGGUGAGCAGUGAUCCUUAUCUCUGUGGGGAUAUCUCCUGUUAAUGGGUCAGGUGUUAAAGCAGGUGAGCAGUGAUCCUUAUCUCUGUGGGGAUAUCUCCUGUUAAUGGGUCAGG
This is a long non-coding RNA of Oenanthe melanoleuca, 573 nucleotides long. RefSeq lists it as uncharacterized. The transcript is spliced from 3 exons. Lineage: Eukaryota; Metazoa; Chordata; Aves; Passeriformes; Muscicapidae. The record is from RefSeq and is a predicted model, not a curated record.